CGGCUCGCUCCUCCGCCUCCUCCCCCUUCGGCGGGCACCGCUAGUACCGCGCAACCAAACCGCCCCCUGCACGGCCGCCUCCUCCUCCUGGCCGCUCCGCCCACAGUCAGCAAGCAACUACAAAGGCUAACUUUCGAAUAUGGGGUGCCACAAUUUAUAAGAACCCUGAACCCUUGAGUCUCCACUUGAAGAAGAGCCUCCCUGACCUACAUACAAAGUGAUACCAUGAGCACUUUCAGGAGAAACCAGAGAAUGUCCGAGGAAUACCAGUAAUCCAGUUGGAUGGAAAAAAAAAAAAAAUCAUCAGAGGAACAGCAACAAUCAAAGCUGGAAAGGUACUUGGGCCUGUAUUGCGGAGAAGUUUGCACUAAUUUGGGCAAUAGUGGCACAAGGGAUCGGCAAACUAUGGCCUUCAGGCAGAAUCUGCUGUCUAUUUGGGGGCCACAAGUUAAGAGUGGUUUUUACAGAUCUGAUGAUAGGGAAUGCCAACUUUAAGCCCCAAUGUCAUAGGUGAAAUAUUAUCCUAUGGGAAAGAAUUCCAUUCUUCUCAUUAGUAGUCUGUUAUGAUAAAAUAUUCAAUUAUUAUUAUAUUUUGACCUCAAUAAAAAUUUGUGA
This is a long non-coding RNA of Leopardus geoffroyi (Geoffroy's cat), 615 nucleotides long. RefSeq lists it as uncharacterized. The transcript is spliced from 3 exons. NCBI's taxonomy places the organism in Eukaryota, Metazoa, Chordata, Mammalia, Carnivora, Felidae. The record is from RefSeq and is a predicted model, not a curated record.